RNAcentral lists this long non-coding RNA (331 nucleotides) under Trifolium pratense (red clover). RNAcentral describes it as "long non-coding RNA (TPRA_LNC009727)". The record is from RNAcentral. Lineage: Eukaryota; Viridiplantae; Streptophyta; Magnoliopsida; Fabales; Fabaceae.
AGAUCAAAAAAUUAUAAUGGAAUCAAAUGGCCCUAUUGAUUUGCAUAUUUCAAUAUAUGAUGGAUACAGUUAUUAAGCUAAUGAUUUACAUGGUAUCUUCAUCAUUUUCUCCAACAAAGAUGAUGGUGUUAUACUAUCAAAAUAAUAUGUGCAGUCUGCAUUCAUCAAAAUGGAUGCUGAUUUACACGUACACGUUAAUUAUAUUAUCAACUUUUCUUAAUAGAAUGUAAAGAGCGCAAAAAAGAGACUUAUAAAUAGAGUCGAAGGUAGUACUCAGUUUUGAAGAUAAAGUGGCGGGACAUCAAGCAGGUAGAUGCAAUUAUUUAUCAAU